Canis lupus familiaris (dog) is the source of this 1468-nucleotide long non-coding RNA. RefSeq lists it as uncharacterized. NCBI's taxonomy places the organism in Eukaryota, Metazoa, Chordata, Mammalia, Carnivora, Canidae. The record is from RefSeq and is a predicted model, not a curated record. The transcript is spliced from 3 exons.
AGUCCCGGCUCUCUGUUUCCAUGGUGACAAGAGUUCCAAGAGCAGGAUGCUGCCAGCUUUUCUGUCCCCCUCCUCCCCCAAUCAGAGGGAAGCCUGCUCCUGCUCCAGGGACAGGGGACUGGGUCCUCCAAAGAUAAGCCAAUCCCAAGACCACCUGGAACCCCCAAGCCCACCAUGGGCCGAAUCCCAGGAGGCUGGCACAUGGAGAGGAUGGGACUGCCUGGGAGACAAGUAACCAAAUCGAUGGGGCAGCGUUGGAAGCUUGCCCCUGCGGGGUCACCACAUCCCCCAGGCCCCACUCAGGAACAGCGGGGCCUGCUUUGGUGCCUUGAUACUGGAGCUGGAUCAUCAAAUGAUAGUCCAGGUUAGAGAAUGGACUUGCCCAAAGUCUCAGGCUUGGGAAGACUGGUUUGUGCAUCCCUGUUUUGCACCUGAGGAAACUGUCUCAGAGGAGUGAAGUCAUAUACCCAAGGUCACACAGAGCACGGAAUCUCUGGGCUUUGGAGAGGGGAGAAGCCCAUGGCUCCUGAAUCCAAGAAGACCCAGGCACGACUCACCCCUGCCCCUCCCUUAGGGCCUGUCAGUUCUCUUACAGCACAGGCUGUAGCUGUGCUCAACAACCCCAUCAUUAGACCCUAUGGAAGGUCCAGAGAACUACAGGAAGAGGGACUAGAGGUGAGGCAUUGGCUCAAGAGCCCUGGAAGACUGGCCUCUUUAUGGCCCCUUCCCCAUUGUGCCUGCUUCCCCCGGAUUCAGCCCUGGGGGGAGCCGCCAGCCUUGCAGAAGUGGGAGGGAAGAGGACUGGAUCUUUAGCCUUCCUCAAGCAAACGUGUCAUGGGGUGACCACUGAACAUCCCUGGCAGUCCCUGGGGCUGUGAGUGCAAAUGGAUCCAGGCUCACACUUUUCAGAUGGGUACACUGAGGCCCAGAAUAGGCAGGCAGGACCCGCACAACUACUGUGUAAAGCAGAGGCGGGGUUACUCCUGGCAUCUAGGAGUCUGACCCUGCACAGGCUCUGCCCUCUAGAUCCUCUGCCCUAUCACUACAACCCUUGGUGGGAAAGUCUGGUCUUCAUCAAACAAACAAAACCCCAAUAUUUUCUAGAAGAUAUUGUCCACGUAAGCCAACCUGCCCAUGUAGGCCCCAGUCUUAUCAUACAACUGGCUAUGAGAUCAGCCACCAAGCACAUUUGACAGUUGCUACAACCACCGACUCUGCUCCCUGAUCCCAGAGGAAGUUUGUGUAGUUUUGGGCAGAAUGACCACUUAGGAAUCCUAACCAGUAAAUAAUCUAUCUCCCUUCCCCCUCUUCCCACCUCUCCCUCGUUCUCUCUCUGUUUCUCCUGGUCUCACAUCAAACCAGAAUGGAGAUGUGUGCUGAUUUAAGGAAAGUGUUAGAUGAAAAUGUACUUCCUUUUAUUAUAUAGGGAGAUAUUUUUAAGUGCAUAUAAAUAAACAUUUUUAAUUUG